UGUCAAGAGUCUAGGCGUCGAUUCGGCGAGCAGAUUUCUUUUGCCUAAUCGAGGGUGAAAGAAAAUG
Molecule: non-coding RNA, 67 nt
Organism: Mesorhizobium loti
Lineage: Bacteria; Pseudomonadati; Pseudomonadota; Alphaproteobacteria; Hyphomicrobiales; Phyllobacteriaceae
Source: Rfam